RNAcentral lists this ribosomal RNA (1668 nucleotides) under Salmonella enterica subsp. enterica serovar Paratyphi A. Its description in RNAcentral is "16S ribosomal RNA". The record is from RNAcentral. Lineage: Bacteria; Pseudomonadati; Pseudomonadota; Gammaproteobacteria; Enterobacterales; Enterobacteriaceae.
UUUUCAUCAGACAAUCUGUGUGAGCACUGCAAAGUACGCUUCUUUAAGGUAAGGAGGUGAUCCAACCGCAGGUUCCCCUACGGUUACCUUGUUACGACUUCACCCCAGUCAUGAAUCACAAAGUGGUAAGCGCCCUCCCGAAGGUUAAGCUACCUACUUCUUUUGCAACCCACUCCCAUGGUGUGACGGGCGGUGUGUACAAGGCCCGGGAACGUAUUCACCGUGGCAUUCUGAUCCACGAUUACUAGCGAUUCCGACUUCAUGGAGUCGAGUUGCAGACUCCAAUCCGGACUACGACGCACUUUAUGAGGUCCGCUUGCUCUCGCGAGGUCGCUUCUCUUUGUAUGCGCCAUUGUAGCACGUGUGUAGCCCUGGUCGUAAGGGCCAUGAUGACUUGACGUCAUCCCCACCUUCCUCCAGUUUAUCACUGGCAGUCUCCUUUGAGUUCCCGGCCGGACCGCUGGCAACAAAGGAUAAGGGUUGCGCUCGUUGCGGGACUUAACCCAACAUUUCACAACACGAGCUGACGACAGCCAUGCAGCACCUGUCUCACGGUUCCCGAAGGCACAUUCUCAUCUCUGAAAACUUCCGUGGAUGUCAAGACCAGGUAAGGUUCUUCGCGUUGCAUCGAAUUAAACCACAUGCUCCACCGCUUGUGCGGGCCCCCGUCAAUUCAUUUGAGUUUUAACCUUGCGGCCGUACUCCCCAGGCGGUCUACUUAACGCGUUAGCUCCGGAAGCCACGCCUCAAGGGCACAACCUCCAAGUAGACAUCGUUUACGGCGUGGACUACCAGGGUAUCUAAUCCUGUUUGCUCCCCACGCUUUCGCACCUGAGCGUCAGUCUUUGUCCAGGGGGCCGCCUUCGCCACCGGUAUUCCUCCAGAUCUCUACGCAUUUCNNNNNNNNNNNNNNNNNNNNCCCCCCUCUACAAGACUCAAGCCUGCCAGUUUCGAAUGCAGUUCCCAGGUUGAGCCCGGGGAUUUCACAUCCGACUUGACAGACCGCCUGCGUGCGCUUUACGCCCAGUAAUUCCGAUUAACGCUUGCACCCUCCGUAUUACCGCGGCUGCUGGCACGGAGUUAGCCGGUGCUUCUUCUGCGGGUAACGUCAAUUGCUGCGGUUAUUAACCACAACACCUUCCUCCCCGCUGAAAGUACUUUACAACCCGAAGGCCUUCUUCAUACACGCGGCAUGGCUGCAUCAGGCUUGCGCCCAUUGUGCAAUAUUCCCCACUGCUGCCUCCCGUAGGAGUCUGGACCGUGUCUCAGUUCCAGUGUGGCUGGUCAUCCUCUCAGACCAGCUAGGGAUCGUCGCCUUGGUGAGCCGUUACCUCACCAACAAGCUAAUCCCAUCUGGGCACAUCUGAUGGCAAGAGGCCCGAAGGUCCCCCUCUUUGGUCUUGCGACGUUAUGCGGUAUUAGCCACCGUUUCCAGUAGUUAUCCCCCUCCAUCAGGCAGUUUCCCAGACAUUACUCACCCGUCCGCCACUCGUCAGCAAAGCAGCAAGCUGCUUCCUGUUACCGUUCGACUUGCAUGUGUUAGGCCUGCCGCCAGCGUUCAAUCUGAGCCAUGAUCAAACUCUUCAAUUUAAAAGUUUGAUGCUCAAUGAAUUAAACUUCGUAAUGAAUUACGUGUUCACUCUUGAGACUUGGUAUUCAUUUUUCGUC